UUAAUUGAAGCCAAAAAGAGGCUUAUUAUUGUUAAUAAUAAAAUUGGAAUAAUUCCCAAUUAAA
RNAcentral lists this transfer RNA (64 nucleotides) under Melophagus ovinus. Its description in RNAcentral is "tRNA-Asn". Lineage: Eukaryota; Metazoa; Arthropoda; Insecta; Diptera; Hippoboscidae. The record is from RNAcentral.